RNAcentral lists this ribosomal RNA (406 nucleotides) under uncultured bacterium. RNAcentral's name for it is "partial 16S ribosomal RNA". It matches the Rfam family "Bacterial small subunit ribosomal RNA", at positions 30 to 526 of the family's 1533-position model. The record is from RNAcentral.
AUUGAACGCUGGCGGCAGGCCUAACACAUGCAAGUCGAGCGAGCGGCGGACGGGUGAGUAAUGUCUGGGAACCUGCCUGAUGGAGGGGGAUAACUACUGGAAAAGGUAGCUAAUACCGCAUACCAUCAGAUGUGCCCAGAUGGGAUUCGCUGGGAGGUGGGGUAACGGCCCACCUAGGCGACGAUCCCUAGCUGGUCUGAGAGGAUGACCAACCACCCUGGAACUGAGACACGGUCCAUACUCCUACGGGAGGCAUCAGUGGGGAAUAUGGCACAAUGUGCGCAGGCCUGAUGCAGCCGUGCCGAGUGUGUGAAGAAGGCCUUCGGGUUGUAAAGCACUUUCAGUGGGGAGGCGUUACCAGCAGGAGAAGCACCGGCUAACUCCGUGCCAGCCGCCGCGGUAAUUC